GGUGGCUGUUCGCCAGGCUCCGGGGCCAGGCUCUGGCCACGCUUGCUGGUCCUGGGUCAGUCCACAGAGAAGGUGGCGAGCUGAAGCGGCGGCCAGUUACGUGGCGGACCUGCGGGUCUCAGCUGGCACGUCACUUCCGACUGGUUGAGUUUUAGCCUUUCCAGGAUUAGGUAACCAUUCCGAGGAGGAAGAGUAUUUCAAAAGUCUGUGAAGAAUGUGUUUGCCUGGAGACUGAUUAUUAACAAGAUUUUAUGCUGAGUAUGGAAGGAAAGGUGCCUGUGGAGCCACUCCACGCAUCUGUGCUCCACGUAGUUCCUGUACUGCUCUGUCACACCAGUCGCCUCCCACUUCUGACCAGUGAUCUGUGCGGUGGAGUCUGCCUUGGUCCAGGAGCACAGGUCCUUAUUCAGGGCGAUGUGAUCCAUGCCAUCAUAGGCAUCAUGAAGGUACCCGCGCAGAAAGCGCCCAUCAGGCCCCACGUCGCAGCCUAUCACUCUCUGGAAGGCAGGGAGAGCGCGACACUUGGUGCCGAAACCCGGGAAUUGUGAGUAUAUUUAAAAAUAGCAAAGAUACAGUGAAGGUAGAAAUUCUGAUACUGGUUGAGAUAUGUUAUGAUUUACUGAUAAUAUUGAGGUAUAUUUAACUUUUUAAUUUUAUGUGCAUUGAUCUCACAUUUAACAGUUUUGUCAGAGUGAAAUACAAUGUUUCCAUUUUGUUUACUUGAUUUUUAGAAGUGGUAGUUCUAACAGGAAGAUUUGCAGCUUUUUAAACUUAGCAUUUUAGGGAGAAGGUGAGAGAAGGCAAUACAUGAGUACCUUUUCCCCCUCAUCAUAUUGCACGUUCAUCACUAGGACGACCACAAAGGAAAGGUUAGAAGUUUGCUGAAGAGCAACCACAAAGGGACAGCAGCUGUAUGUUCACGGAUCGCGACUGUAAAGGUAAAGCUAAUGGGGUCGGAAAUUUUUAGACUCCGAAUGGAGAGCCCCUUGCGGGCACUUUUGAAAGCUAACGGAACCCCUCUUGAGAGUUAUUUAAGAAGUUGUUUUUCAGGAG
Molecule: long non-coding RNA, 1053 nt
Filed under: Mustela putorius furo (domestic ferret)
Lineage: Eukaryota; Metazoa; Chordata; Mammalia; Carnivora; Mustelidae
Description: lncRNA (ENSMPUG00000031777.1)
Source: RNAcentral